RNAcentral lists this long non-coding RNA (199 nucleotides) under Panax ginseng (ginseng). Its description in RNAcentral is "long non-coding RNA (PGIN_LNC001189)". The record is from RNAcentral. Lineage: Eukaryota; Viridiplantae; Streptophyta; Magnoliopsida; Apiales; Araliaceae.
UUUUGGGAGCCUGUGGUGGGCUAAGAUGACCCAAGAAGAUACUAUUGGGCUAGUAGUUUGAGGCCUUAUUUUGAUGAAUUUGAUUCGAUUCGGACUUGGGAUUUGACCCAAGAUUUAUUCCGGACUCGGGAUUUGACCCGGGUUGUUUCAUAUGGUAUCAGAGCCGACUCUCGAAAGCUCGGGUCGGGUCAUCCGAUCG